This 539-nucleotide ribosomal RNA is filed under the name uncultured Aspergillus. Its description in RNAcentral is "eukaryotic LSU rRNA". The stretch from base 201 to 354 matches the Rfam family "5.8S ribosomal RNA". The record is from RNAcentral. Lineage: Eukaryota; Fungi; Ascomycota; Eurotiomycetes; Eurotiales; Aspergillaceae.
ACCCAGGUAACAAGGUUUCCGUAGGUGAACCUGCGGAAGGAUCAUUCCGAGUGCGGGCUGCCUCCGGGCGCCCAACCUCCCACCCGUGACUACCUAACACUGUUGCUUCGGCGGGGAGCCCCCCAGGGGCGAGCCGCCGGGGACCACUGAACUUCAUGCCUGAGAGUGAUGCAGUCUGAGCCUGAAUACAAAUCAGUCAAAACUUUCAACAAUGGAUCUCUUGGUUCCGGCAUCGAUGAAGAACGCAGCGAACUGCGAUAAGUAAUGUGAAUUGCAGAAUUCAGUGAAUCAUCGAGUCUUUGAACGCACAUUGCGCCCCCUGGCAUUCCGGGGGGCAUGCCUGUCCGAGCGUCAUUGCUGCCCUCAAGCCCGGCUUGUGUGUUGGGUCGUCGUCCCCCCCGGGGGACGGGCCCGAAAGGCAGCGGCGGCACCGUGUCCGGUCCUCGAGCGUAUGGGGCUUUGUCACCCGCUCGAUUAGGGCCGGCCGGGCGCCAGCCGGCGUCUCCAACCUUAUUUCUCAGGUGACCUCGAUCAGUAGU